Long non-coding RNA from Trichechus manatus latirostris (Florida manatee), 4358 nucleotides. RefSeq lists it as uncharacterized. The transcript is spliced from 4 exons. The record is from RefSeq and is a predicted model, not a curated record. Lineage: Eukaryota; Metazoa; Chordata; Mammalia; Sirenia; Trichechidae.
CACAUGUUUUGGGGAGACACAGUUCAAUCCAUAACAGGGAAAGCGACCCGACCACUGCCACACAGCUCAUCCACAGCAUGUGGAUGGUCACAGAAAAUGGAGACUUGUGACUUCUAGUUUAAUGUUUCUCCAUAUUAUCACAUUUCCUCUCUGUUGGUGAUCUUGUGGAUAGUAUUGCUGGCAGAAGUUUCUAGAAUUGUGAUUUAUAAUUUGUCUCCCCCCUAAAACUACUGGGGGAUUCACUUAAGAUAACCAGCUGCCCAACACUGGCUGAAAUAGACCAGGAACCUUAGGGACUGUCUAGGUCUUUGUGACAAGUCCAAAAUGUAAAAACAAACACUUCACACAUACCAUCCUUUCCCCACCCCAAAGUAUUUUGUGCCUGGGUAUAAAUGAAAGAUCUGAGAGAGUACUUUGAUAAGAGAGGAGAAAGCUUGAGGCUCUGGGGUGUCAGGAUAUGUGGGUGCCCACUUGGGGUACUAUGGAUGUUGUGAGGAGUAGAAGUGGGUUUAGUGGAGAAGAGGAAGAGUAGAAGUUUGAAGCCCUGGAAACAAUCUCAGAGCUAAGCUGUAUCUAAAGUCCAGAGCCAAGCUGGGGUCAGCAGAGAUGGUGGUGUCCACUCCAGCCACCCUGCGUCUCUCCAUGUAGUCCAGGACCAGGAGUUGUACAGAUGGAAAAAGUGAAGAUGUCAGCUAUUGAGCAAGUUGCUCCCCCUCACUCACACCUCCAGCCCCCCAGUCUCUUAUCACCAGGCUGUUUUCUGCCACCUUUUCCUAAUCAGGCCUUUUCAUCAUCGUCCAGACAGGCCAGAGCAGAGCAGGCUGGGACACCCAAAACGGCCCCCUCCAGCUGGCCAAACCCACUAUAAGGAUUCACAGAGCACUGUAGCAAUCCAGUCUUUCUUAGACAACCCCAGUGGCCAGGAGCCAGCCAUUCCCCUAGUAGAUCGUUUUAUCUUUGGACAGCUCUGACUCAGAAAGUUUAGAUUGAGCUAACACCUGGUUCCUAGCAACCUCACUCCACUGGUGUGUGUGUGUGUUGCGGAGGGUGCCCUGGGAAGAGAGGAUGUGGAUGGGGGGAAAGGGCUUUACCCUAUCUUAUACCUCUUCUCUCUGGCCCCAAGUCUCAUCUGUCAUAACACAAUCUCUGUGACUUGGGGAGCAGUACUCUAUUCUGUGUUCAUAGGACUCUGCUCAUCAGGAAUGACCUCAGAACACUAUCCUGUUCUCGUUGUCAAGCUCUAGCUGAUAGCUGAGUUCCUGGCACAGAACAUGGCCUCACUAAGGGAAUGAAUGCUGACUGGAGAUAAUGGACAGGGAAGUGAGCAGGAAGGGGGAGAGGGGAAAUGGCUGUACCAGUUGUAGAGCUGAAUGUGCUCCCCAGGGUUUUCCCUGUCCAGGCUAAAGUGGCUCCACAGCCACCCGAAGCACUUCCCUCUCCUGGCCCCACCUCUGUUGCCAGUCAGGUGUCCUGCAUUCCCUCCUUCUUGCCUAGGCCCGGACUGCCACAAUGCACCUGACCUCACACCCUGACAGUCCUGCGGAGCCGAGGGGGCGGAGAGAGGGUUCUCAAUUGAAGGGGAAGCAGGAUGGCCACCUCCCUUCCUGAGUCCCCUCACCCCUAGAUUCCAGCACUGCAUUACUGCUCCUGCCAUGCCAUGAGAAGCCCAGGUCGGCAGUGGUAAUCCUAUUUGCAAGGGAAUGUGCAAAACUUCCCUGCAUGUUUUAAAUUAUUGGGCAGAUUUGCUUUGUUCCUGCUUGGGCCCAGCCAUCACUGCCCUGAACCUAACUGUGACUGGGCCCUUAAUUAAGCAUUGCCUUGCUUUGAGACCCUUUAAUGAGAAGGGCUACCACAGUAUGACAUGAUGUGUUUUAUUAUAGUUAAUAAAACCAAAAAUAUUGGAACAGAAGAUGAGGAAGAGUUCUUUGAAGAAGGUUGAAAAAGUGUUCCCUUCAAUAAAAAGUUAAACUUUUGCCUCUUGUAUUAUCUCUACCACUGCCAACUCCACUAAAAGUAAAUGCAUAUGAAGAGGACGUCCUUAAAAUUAAAAACAAAAAGAAUGAAAUAUUCGUUUGGCCACAAGAUUGUGAGUGCCAGUCCAGCUUCUCCUUACAUUUUAGAAUAGCUGAACCACUUGAUUCCUCAGUGUGGCCCAGAGAUUUCCAAAUGCCUUUACAGAGCUCUCCUGUGCUUCUCCUGAGAUACGCUCUAUAGGAAGUCAUCUGGACCAAAUAGCCUAAGCACUGAGUUUGCUCCGUUUGUGUUACAUUUCCUAUGUGUUGAGAGUUUGGCUGCCAAGAGAUAGAUUGUAAAUGGAAUCUUCUAUUCUGAUUUCAGUUUCUGGAAGUAAGCUCAAGGCAAAUCAUAUAUUUAAAGACAUAUGCAUAUGUUUAAGGAUUACCUGGCCAUUAUUUCUACUGUCUUUUUGAAGACUUCAUCAUGGUAGCCUGACCCAGUGCAACAUACUAAGAGGAGAGAAGAUACUUUUAAUGUACGUCCUUAGGUGGCUGAGCCAGUUGGCGCCCUGUUAAUUGGAACAGGCUACUGAGCCCAAUACCACUUGGCUUCCCCACCAAGAACAGAGUUCCAAAACUACAAAUAGCUUCGAUGGCUGGCUCCACCCAACCUGCUAAAGUCAUCAACUAAGAUUCACGGAGCACGGAAAUGGAUAGUGCUUCUGCCCUCCCCUCUGGAAAAAAAUACUCAAAGGUUGUGACUUAAUGACCACUGAGUCAGCAGCAGCUCUUCACUUGCCAGGAAUAGCACAGUCUUCUUUUCCUUUUCAGGUAAUCCCUCCACAGGACAGGAAAGUCACCCAUUUUGUAACACAUGGAAGAAAUUCAUGAUAGAAGGGGCAAGAUUAUUUAAACAAAAUACAAAAAGCUUUUUUUUUUAAAGUGAGAGAAAGCCCAGGACAAAGAAAUCAUUUUCUGUUUAAAAAAUGGUUUGAAUCACAAUUGUGAAACUCUCCACUGUUUCUCUUUUCUCCAGAGGUAUCUACCAGAAGGUCCCUUAGCCUCACCACAAAAGCCUCCAGAGGUGCCAAACUUCUUUCUGAGGAGCCUCACAGAGCAUAUGCAUACUUGUCAGGUGUUCUUAAUAAAUGGACCUGUGCUCUGAAUGGUGAUCUGAAUAGUGUCGUCCUGUGGAUAAGGCGUGAGAGGGUGAGGGAGCCUCAGUAGGAACCACAGAGCUUUCACGAGAUGUCGGUGCCUAGUUUUCUCCCCAGUGGACUUGAAGCCAGGAGAAAGCAUUGUGACUCAGGGUCACCAUUAUCAUCAUGGAUAGCUGCUCCCCUAUCACAGACAUUGAACUUGACUUCCAGUCUUUCCAGGCUCUGGGAUCCAGCCAAGCCCUUCCCUCCUGGGACAGCUGCUUUCAGGAGCCAAGUAGGCUAGUGGUGCGUCUCCCUCAGCGAACCCAUCCAGCUUUCUGGGUGUUCACGUGGAGUAGUGGAGAAGUCCUUCCACCAAGGCCAGCUCUGUGCACCAGACUCCCAUCUCUGUCACCGUCAGUCUCCCUAGAUGUGUAGCCUCUUUCCCCAGUGUCGGCUUCAGAUGGUGGCUGGCACUUUGCCCACACAUCAGGGAGUACACGGCCGGAAGGGAUUGGGCUUUCUCCUUGAUUCCUAAGGCUGCUUCCUUGGUCAUCACUUCCUCCAUCCCUACCCACCCUGCAAGGUAAAAUCACCUCCUUGAGACUUACGUCCGUUAACUGUCUAUCCCUGCCUACCCCUUUCGGUUGCUGCUCUCUAGUAAGCUCCUGGCAGUCUCUAAAUUUCAUCAAGGACUUUGACUUAUUUAAUAAAUGUUUAAUAAGCAUUUACUGUGCCAAACAGUUUGCUAUGUAUACAAAGAUGAGUAAAACAUGAUCCUUGUUCUUAAAGAUAAGCUUGUAGUUUAAUGAAGAAACAUAAAAUAAUUACCAGACUAGAUGGUAAAUGCCUUAAUGGACAUACAGUAUUUACAAGUUGGAAGCAUGGACACAUGGAAAUGGGUGGGUGGGAAGGAAAGCAAGGGAAGGGUCAGAGAAGGCUGGACAGAAUUGGUGAGCCAGUAAGUUAGAGUUAUUCAGGUAGGGAGAAAGGCAUCAUUCAUAUCACCAGGAGUGACGUGUACAAAUGGACUGAGGCCUGAGAGGAAAUGGCGCCUUUGGGGAACUGGUAGUGAUUCAGUCCAGGAGGUGUAAAGGAUUUAUGCUAGGAAGUGGCAAGGGUAAUCCUGAAACAUGCAAGGAGCCGGAGCGUAAAUCUAAUCAUCUCCCCACACAAAUAUGCUUUCACUCCUUUCCUCCCUUUUUUUGACGGGUGGCAACCAGCCAUCCUAGAGUCCUACUUCCCCAUCAAUUCCCACAUCUCU